This 302-nucleotide ribosomal RNA is filed under the name Sulfitobacter sp. RNAcentral's name for it is "partial 16S ribosomal RNA". It matches the Rfam family "Bacterial small subunit ribosomal RNA", at positions 1 to 332 of the family's 1533-position model. The record is from RNAcentral. Lineage: Bacteria; Pseudomonadati; Pseudomonadota; Alphaproteobacteria; Rhodobacterales; Roseobacteraceae.
UCAACUUGAGAGUUUGAUCCUGGCUCAGAACGAACGCUGGCGGCAGGCCUAACACAUGCAAGUCGAGCGCACCUUCGGGUGAGCGGCGGACGGGUUAGUAACGCGUGGGAACAUACCCUUUUCUACGGAAUAGCCUCGGGAAACUGAGAGUAAUACCGUAUAAGCCCUUCGGGGGAAAGAUUUAUCGGGAAAGGAUUGGCCCGCGUUAGAUUAGAUAGUUGGUGGGGUAAUGGCCUACCAAGUCUACGAUCUAUAGCUGGUUUUAGAGGAUGAUCAGCAACACUGGGACUGAGACACGGCCC